Molecule: ribosomal RNA, 1383 nt
Filed under: uncultured bacterium
Lineage: Bacteria
Description: 16S ribosomal RNA
Rfam family: Bacterial small subunit ribosomal RNA
Source: RNAcentral
AGAGUUUGAUCCUGGCUCAGGAUGAACGCUGGCGGCGUGCCUAAUACAUGCAAGUCGAACGCAUAUCUUCGGAUAUGAGUGGCGAACGGGUGAGUAAUACAUAAGUAACCUGGCCUUAAGAGGGGGAUAACUAUUAGAAAUGAUAGCUAAGACCGCAUAGGUAUGAAGAUCGCAUGAUCGACAUAUUAAAUAUCCCAAGGGAUAGCUGAAGGAUGGACUUAUGGCGCAUUAGCUAGUUGGUAGGGUAACGGCCUACCAAGGCGACGAUGCGUAGCCGACCUGAGAGGGUGGACGGCCACACUGGGACUGAGACACGGCCCAGACUCCUACGGGAGGCAGCAGUAGGGAAUUUUCGGCAAUGGGGGGAACCCUGACCGAGCAACGCCGCGUGAGGGAGGAAGUAUUUCGGUAUGUAAACCUCUGUUAUAAAGGAAGAACGGUGCAUGUAGGGAAUGACAUGCAAGUGACGGUACUUUAUGAGGAAGCCACGGCUAACUACGUGCCAGCAGCCGCGGUAAUACGUAGGUGGCGAGCGUUAUCCGGAAUUAUUGGGCGUAAAGAGGGAGCAGGCGGCAGCUAAGGUCUGCGGUGAAAGCCCGAAGCUAAACUUCGGUAAGCCGUGGAAACCGAGCAGCUAGAGUGCAGUAGAGGAUCGUGGAAUUCCAUGUGUAGCGGUGAAAUGCGUAGAUAUAUGGAGGAACACCAGUGGCGAAGGCGACGAUCUGGGCUGCAACUGACGCUCAGUCCCGAAAGCGUGGGGAGCAAAUAGGAUUAGAUAUCCUAGUAGUCCACGCCGUAAACGAUGAGUACUAAGUGUUGGGGGUCAAACCUCAGUGCUGCAGUUAACGCUAUAAGUACUCCGCCUGAGUAGUACGUUCGCAAGAAUGAAACUCAAAGGAAUUGACGGGGGCCCGCACAAGCGGUGGAGCAUGUGGUUUAAUUCGAAGCAACGCGAAGAACCUUACCAGGUCUUGACAUCGAUCUAAAGGAUCCAGAGAUGGAUAGAUAGUUAUAGAGAAGACAGGUGGUGCAUGGUUGUCGUCAGCUCGUGUCGUGAGAUGUUGGGUUAAGUCCCGCAACGAGCGCAACCCUUGUCGUUAGUUACCAGCAGUAAGAUGGGGACUCUAGCGAGACUGCCUCUGCAAGGAGUAGGAAGGCGGGGAUGACGUCAAAUCAUCAUGCCCCUUAUGACCUGGGCUACACACGUGCUACAAUGGACGGAUCAAAGGGAAGCGAAGCCGCGAGGUGAAGCGAAACUCAAAAACCCGUUCUCAGUUCGGACUGCAGUCUGCAACUCGACUGCACGAAGUUGGAAUCGCUAGUAAUCGCGAAUCAGAAUGUCGCGGUGAAUACGUUCUCGGGCCUUGCACACACCGCCCGUCA